This 397-nucleotide ribosomal RNA is filed under the name uncultured bacterium. RNAcentral's name for it is "partial 16S ribosomal RNA". It matches the Rfam family "Bacterial small subunit ribosomal RNA", at positions 523 to 918 of the family's 1533-position model. The record is from RNAcentral.
AUACGUAGGGGGCGAGCGCUGUCCGGAAUGAUUGGGCGUAAAGGGCGCGUAGGCGGCCCGGUAAGUCUGGAGUGAAAGUCCUGUUUUUAAGAUGGGAAUUGCUUUGGAUACUGUCGGGCUUGAGUGCAGGAGAGGUAAGUGGAAUUCCCAGUGUAGCGGUGAAAUGCGUAGAGAUUGGGAGGAACACCAGUGGCGAAGGCGACUUACUGGACUGUAACUGACGCUGAGGCGCGAAAGUGUGGGGAGCAAACAGGAUUAGAUACCCUGGUAGUCCACACUGUAAACGAUGAAUGCUAGGUGUAGGGGGUAUCGACCCCUUCUGUGCCGCAGUCAACACAAUAAGCAUUCCGCCUGGGGAGUACGGCCGCAAGGUUGAAACUCAAAGGAAUUGACGGGG